AUUCCAGCUCCAGUAGCGUAUAUUAAAGUUGUUGCAGUUAAAAAGCUCGUAGUUGGAUUUCUGAUAGUAGCGUUGGGCCCGCCCGGGUUACCGGUGUGAGUGCCUGUUCGCUCCUUUCAUCCUUCUAGAGAACGGUUCUCUCCUUCAUUGGCAGUGGGAUCGCAAUCUAGAUCUUUUACUUUGAAAAAAUUAGAGUGUUUAAAGCAGGCUUGUGCUAUGAAUACAUUAGCAUGGAAUAAUAAUUUAGGACUUUAGUUCUAUUUUGUUGGUUUCUAGAACUGAAGUAAUGAUUGACAGGGAUAGUUGGGGGUGCUAGUAUUCAGCGGCCAGAGGUGAAAUUCUUGGAUUCGCUGAAGACUAACUUAUGCGAAAGCAUUCACCAAGGAUGUCUUCAUUG
This 397-nucleotide ribosomal RNA is filed under the name Reckertia sp. Its description in RNAcentral is "partial small subunit ribosomal RNA". It matches the Rfam family "Eukaryotic small subunit ribosomal RNA", at positions 582 to 975 of the family's 1831-position model. The record is from RNAcentral. Lineage: Eukaryota; Cercozoa; Imbricatea; Thaumatomonadida; Thaumatomastigidae.